GAAGGAUUCAUCGGAAGAGGAUGGGCAUGCGGCGCAUUAGCUAGACGGCGGGGUAACGGCCCACCGUGGCGACGAUGCGUAGGGGUUCUGAGAGGAACCUCCCCCACACUGGUACUGAGACACGGACCAGACUCCUACGGGAGGCAGCAGUGAGGAAUAUUGGUCAAUGGGAGAGAUCCUGAACCAGCCAAGCCGCGUGAGGGAAGACGGCCCUAUGGGUUGUAAACCUCUUUUGUCGGAGAACAAAACCCGGGACGUGUCCCGGACUGCGUGUAUCCGAAGAAAAAGCAUCGGCUAACUCCGUGCCAGCAGCCGCGGUAAUACGGAGGAUGCGAGCGUUAUCCGGAUUUAUUGGGUUUAAAGGGUGCGUAGGCGGUCCGUUAAGUCAGCGGUAAAAUUGCGGGGCUCAACCCCGUCGAGCCGUUGAAACUGGCAGACUUGAGUUGGCGAGAAGUACGCGGAAUGCGCGGUGUAGCGGUGAAAUGCAUAGAUAUCGCGCAGAACUCCGAUUGCGAAGGCAGCGUACCGGCGCCAGACUGACGCUGAGGCACGAAAGCGUGGGGAUCGAACAGGAUUAGAUACCCUGGUAGUCCACGCAGUAAACGAUGAAUGCUGGUUGUCCGGGUCGAAUGAGAUCUGG
This 640-nucleotide ribosomal RNA is filed under the name uncultured bacterium. RNAcentral's name for it is "bacterial SSU rRNA". It matches the Rfam family "Bacterial small subunit ribosomal RNA", at positions 202 to 842 of the family's 1533-position model. The record is from RNAcentral.